This 253-nucleotide ribosomal RNA is filed under the name uncultured bacterium. Its description in RNAcentral is "partial 16S ribosomal RNA". It matches the Rfam family "Bacterial small subunit ribosomal RNA", at positions 524 to 776 of the family's 1533-position model. The record is from RNAcentral.
UACGUAGGUGGCAAGCGUUAUCCGGAAUUAUUGGGCGUAAAGCGCGCGCAGGUGGUUCUUUAAGUCUGAUGUGAAAGCCCCCGGCUCAACCGGGGAGGGUCAUUGGAAACUGGGGAACUUGAGUAUAGAAGAGGAAAGUGGAAUUCCACGUGUAGCGGUGAAAUGCGUAGAGAUGUGGAGGAACACCAGUGGCGAAGGCGACUUUCUGGUCUAUAACUGACACUGAGGCGCGACAGCGUGGGGAGCAAACAGG